Molecule: long non-coding RNA, 2364 nt
Organism: Oncorhynchus tshawytscha (Chinook salmon)
Lineage: Eukaryota; Metazoa; Chordata; Actinopteri; Salmoniformes; Salmonidae
Exons: 3
Source: RefSeq, a predicted model, not a curated record
AAAUUCUUAUUUUCAAUGUCGAUCUUGCAACCUUUCGGUUACUAGUCCAACGCUCUAACCACCAUCAUGACGGGGAGACGACUGCCAUUUACUCAUUUAGUUUGAGUAGACAACCCUUUCAUGUCUCCUGCACGUCUUUAUUCAUGUGUUUGAGUAGACACGACUCUUCUACUUAUCCGUAACAUUUUUUUACAGCCUCCCUAAAUCUGACAUUCUACUCCCUCAUAAAACAUGUUUUAACGGUACCAGUGCAGCUGAUGACGUCAGUGUCCCAAGUAGAAGGAUGUUCAUGAAAAAAACAGACUUCGCUAACAGACUGACUGAACUGUGCCAAUUAUUGGAUCCAGUCCAAACACUUUAAAGACACACCCUCGUCCACUUACCCUCGCCAUAUUGGAGGGUGGGCCAAAUGAUUAGCCAAGUAAGGGAAGUUUGCAACUUCAGGUACUCAGUCCUCGUUUUUAGUCGGCUUUGUAUAAGUACUGUUAUGAAACAGGCAGGGGGCAGGUCUCAAACCAUCGACCUUCUAGCCCGCAAAAGCAUACUCAUGCGGCAGAGUCGAUAUCCACGCUUCUAAACCCAGGGUCGUUACACUAUGAUCACUCCGGGGCCUGAAAAACAACAUCAAUGGAAUAGUCAACAUACAAGCGACAAUGACCCAACAGACCUCCAAGAUGUGUAAGGGCAAUUUGACCAAGAAGGAGAGUGAUGGAGUACUGCAUCAGAUGACCUGGCCUCCAUAAGUGAGAAAGUUAGACUGAGGUUGACCAUGCGGCUCCCUCCAUGAUCGUUGAACCGUCCAUUAUUUUCACCUCGAGUCUCCCAGAGAAAGUUAAGACCGUUAGUCUGCUGCUGCUGGAGGAGGAAGAGCCUGUGGGAGGCGGAGCACGAGAGAGGCUAGCCGCUGUGGGGGACCUCUGCCCCAGAGAGCCUAGCGAGGGAGCUGAGUGCCUGUCUACUGGAUGCUUGCACCCCCCACAGGACAUGGGUUGUGAGCAGCCCUACCAAAGCUGACAGCAGUGUUAUCAGCUGGGCAUCGCCGGGUCAGAGCUACUCCAGAGGGCCUGUGGGGCCACGGCCUCUUGCUACGCCAGCAGCAAAGGCUCUGUUGUCACCUACACACAGUACAGACCCAAUAGAUGAGUUCAUCUGAUUCCUUUCUGCAGUGUGGCAGUUGUAGGAAAUUUUGUCACUAUCUAACAUAAUGUAAUUUAGAGAUGGACUUCCUGGUGCCAGUCUGGGUCUGCGUCCAAAAUGUCACACUAUUCCCUAUGUAGUGCUGGUGGGCUCUAGUCAAAAGUAGUGCCCAAUAUAGGGAAUAGGGUGCCCUUUUGGACGCCAACUAGCCAGGCUAGGUGUAAAGCCUAUAGUAAAUGAAACAAUGUUACGCCCAGGGAUUUCAGAUUCACAAUUAUUGUCUAACUAGGCAACUAUGUAUUUUAUUACCAGUGGAAGUAGAAAUGCAUACAAAUGUGCCGCAAGUGGUUAGGUAGAUAAAUGUGUGUGGUUGGUUGGUUCAUGUGGUUGUCUGUGCACUAUGAAAGCUGAUCUGUGUGGUAGCACAUCACUGAGUGACCUAAGUCCUUACCCCAAGAAAGCACUGUCUAUCAGGUCUGACUCCUGGGUCAGAAGUUAGUAUUGUACAGUCAUUAGCCUAUUUUUCUAGGAUUAACACAUUGUAUUUCAACAGUAUCUUCUAAUACUAUAACGAAACCAUGGGUUGUGUUGAGUAGACCUUGCCAAACCACUGUUUUGAAAGGACAUAUUUUGAUAAGACGAAUACUAUGGGAGCUGAUAAUUUAUUUUCUGGAAACUUUUUCGUAAAGCCGUUAGUUUCGGGGACUGUGGUUAGGAUACAUAUUUGGUAAUCUGUGUGUUCAAAUAUGGCUUAAUGACUGGAAUACAACAAAGGACUAGCGAGCUAAAAGACUCCUUGUCUGAGAUGAUACUCUGUUAAUAAUGUAUAAAGUGUGUGUUGACAUUACCAUGGAAGGCUGUUACAUUGCAAGGCUGUCUAUAACCUGGGACAAGACGAUGUUUACCAAAUUGAUCGUCUAGAGGCCGGUUUCUUAGAUUAGGCUAAACCUGGACUAAAAAGCUUGUUCAGUGGAGAAUCUCCAUUGAGAGUGCCAUUUAGUCCAGGACUAAGUGUAAUCUGUGUCUGGGAAACUGUCCCUUAAUUUAAACAUGUGAGUUGUGAAAUAUGACUGUUUUAUCAUGCAUCACUAAAGUAAUUAAUUGUAUUUUGUAAAUUACAUUUUUGACUUCUGAAUAAUUUGGGAAUAAUACUUGUAAUUUGUUUCAUUGUUCUUAAGACAUAUGUUAGUGAUUUUUAUAAACUGGGUGGUUCAUGCCCUGAAUGCU